UACGUAGGGGGCGAGCGUUGUCCGGAUUUACUGGGCGUAAAGGGUGAGUAGGCGGUAAUAUAUGUCAGGUGUAAAAGAUCAUGGCUUAACCAUGGUUAGCACUUGAAACUGUAUGACUUGAGUGCAGGAGAGGUAAGCGGAAUUCCUAGUGUAGCGGUGAAAUGCGUAGAUAUUAGGAGGAACACCAGUGGCGAAGGCGGCUUACUGGACUGUAACUGACGCUGAGUCACGAAAGUGUGGGGAUCAAACAGGAUUAGAUACCCUGGUA
RNAcentral lists this ribosomal RNA (268 nucleotides) under uncultured prokaryote. RNAcentral describes it as "partial 16S ribosomal RNA". It matches the Rfam family "Bacterial small subunit ribosomal RNA", at positions 524 to 792 of the family's 1533-position model. The record is from RNAcentral.